UCUCCUAUAGCUCAGUUGGUAGAGCGUGCGGCUGUUAACCUCAAAGUCGCUGGUUCAAACCCAGCUGGGAGAG
Molecule: transfer RNA, 73 nt
Filed under: Phytophthora infestans (potato late blight agent)
Lineage: Eukaryota; Oomycota; Peronosporomycetes; Peronosporales; Peronosporaceae
Also listed under: 1 other name
Rfam family: tRNA
About the family: Transfer RNA (tRNA) molecules are approximately 80 nucleotides in length.
Source: Rfam by way of RNAcentral